This 497-nucleotide ribosomal RNA is filed under the name uncultured bacterium. RNAcentral's name for it is "partial 16S ribosomal RNA". It matches the Rfam family "Bacterial small subunit ribosomal RNA", at positions 28 to 507 of the family's 1533-position model. The record is from RNAcentral.
GAUGAACGCUGGCGGCAUGCCUAAUACAUGCAAGUCGAGCGAACAGACGAGGAGCUUGCUCCUCCGACGUUAGCGGCGGACGGGAGAGUAACAUGUGGUUAACCUACCUAUAAGAAUGGGAUAAUUUCGGGAAACCGGAGCUAAUACCGGAUAAUAUAUUGAACCGCAUGGUUCAAUAGUGAAAGACGGUUUUGCUGUCACUUAUAGAUGGAUCCGCGCCGCAUUAGCUAGUUGGUAGGGUAACGGCUUACCAAGGCAACGAUGCGUAGCCGACCUGAGAGGGUGAUCGGCCACACUGGCACUGAGACACGGUCCAGACUCCUACGGGAGGCAGCAGUAGGGAAUCUUCCGCAAUGGGCGAAAGCCUGACUGUGCAACGCCGCGUGAGUGAUGAAGGUCUUCUGAUCGUAAAACUCUGUUAUUAGGGAAGAACAAAUAUGUAAUUAACUAGGCACGUCUUGGCGGUACCUAAUCAGAAAGCCACGGCUAACUACGUG